This 580-nucleotide ribosomal RNA is filed under the name Bacillus aerophilus. RNAcentral describes it as "bacterial SSU rRNA". It matches the Rfam family "Bacterial small subunit ribosomal RNA", at positions 56 to 619 of the family's 1533-position model. Lineage: Bacteria; Bacillati; Bacillota; Bacilli; Caryophanales; Bacillaceae. The record is from RNAcentral.
UGCAAGUCGAGCGGACAGAAGGGAGCUUGCUCCCGGAUGUUAGCGGCGGACGGGUGAGUAACACGUGGGUAACCUGCCUGUAAGACUGGGAUAACUCCGGGAAACCGGAGCUAAUACCGGAUAGUUCCUUGAACCGCAUGGUUCAAGGAUGAAAGACGGUUUCGGCUGUCACUUACAGAUGGACCCGCGGCGCAUUAGCUAGUUGGUGAGGUAACGGCUCACCAAGGCGACGAUGCGUAGCCGACCUGAGAGGGUGAUCGGCCACACUGGGACUGAGACACGGCCCAAACUCCUACGGGAGGCAGCAGUAGGGAAUCUUCCGCAAUGGACGAAAGUCUGACGGAGCAACGCCGCGUGAGUGAUGAAGGUUUUCGGAUCGUAAAGCUCUGUUGUUAGGGAAGAACAAGUGCAAGAGUAACUGCUUGCACCUUGACGGUACCUAACCAGAAAGCCACGGCUAACUACGUGCCAGCAGCCGCGGUAAUACGUAGGUGGCAAGCGUUGUCCGGAAUUAUUGGGCGUAAAGGGCUCCCAGGCGGUUUCUUAAUUCUGAUGUGAAAGCCCCCGGCUCACCCGGGGA